Molecule: ribosomal RNA, 253 nt
Filed under: uncultured bacterium
Lineage: Bacteria
Description: partial 16S ribosomal RNA
Rfam family: Bacterial small subunit ribosomal RNA
Source: RNAcentral
UACGUAGGGUGCGAGCGUUGUCCGGAAUUAUUGGGCGUAAAGGGCUCGUAGGCGGUCUGUUGCGUCAGGAGUGAAAACUCGGGGCUUAACCCCGAGCCUGCUUCUGAUACGGGCAGACUAGAGGUAUGCAGGGGAGAACGGAAUUCCUGGUGUAGCGGUGAAAUGCGCAGAUAUCAGGAGGAACACCGGUGGCGAAGGCGGUUCUCUGGGCCGAUACUGACGCUGAGGAGCGAAAGCGUGGGGAGCGAACAGG